GCGGAAGUGGCUCAGCUGGUAGAGCAUCACCUUGCCAAGGUGAGGGUCGCGGGUUCGAGUCCCGUCUUCCGCUCCA
This 76-nucleotide transfer RNA is filed under the name Chloroflexota bacterium. RNAcentral describes it as "Chloroflexi bacterium tRNA-Gly". It matches the Rfam family "tRNA". From Rfam's summary of the family: Transfer RNA (tRNA) molecules are approximately 80 nucleotides in length. Their secondary structure includes four short double-helical elements and three loops (D, anti-codon, and T loops). Further hydrogen bonds mediate the characteristic L-shaped molecular structure. tRNAs have two regions of fundamental functional importance: the anti-codon, which is responsible for specific mRNA codon recognition, and the 3' end, to which the tRNAs corresponding amino acid is attached (by aminoacyl-tRNA synthetases). tRNAs cope with the degeneracy of the genetic code in two manners: having more than one tRNA (with a specific anti-codon) for a particular amino acid; and 'wobble' base-pairing, i.e. permitting non-standard base-pairing at the 3rd anti-codon position. The record is from RNAcentral. RNAcentral also lists the same sequence under 2 other names. Lineage: Bacteria; Bacillati; Chloroflexota.